GUGCCASCWGCYGCGGUAAUACGGAGGGUGCAAGCGUUAUCCGGAUUUAUYSGKUUUAAAGGGUCCGUAGGCGGAUGCGUAAGUCAGUGGUGAAAUCUCACAGCUCAACUGUGAAACUGCCAUUGAUACUGUGUGUCUUGAGUGAGGUUGAAGUAGCUGGAAUAAGUAGUGUAGCGGUGAAAUGCAUAGAUAUUACUUAGAACACCAAUUGCGAAGGCAGGUUACUAGUCUCAACUGACGCUGACGGACGAAAGCGUGGGGAGCGAACAGGAUUAGAUACCCUGGUAGUCCACGCUGUAAACGAUGCUAACUCGUUUUUGGGGAUUUAUCUUCAGAGACUAAGCGAAAGUGAUAAGUUAGCCACCUGGGGGGUACGAACGCAAGUUUGAAACUCAAAGGAAUUGACGGGGGCCCGCACAAGCGGUGGAUUACGUGGUUUAGUUCGAUGAUACGCGAGGAACCUUAACCAAGGCUUAAAUGGGAAUUGAWCGGUUUAGAAAUAGACCUUCCUUCGGGCAUUUUCAAGGUGCUUGCAUGGUUGUCGUCAGCUCGYGCCKUGAKGUGUWAGGUUWAWGUCCUGCAACGAGCGCAACCCCUGUC
Molecule: ribosomal RNA, 600 nt
Filed under: uncultured Chryseobacterium sp.
Lineage: Bacteria; Pseudomonadati; Bacteroidota; Flavobacteriia; Flavobacteriales; Weeksellaceae
Description: partial 16S ribosomal RNA
Rfam family: Bacterial small subunit ribosomal RNA
Source: RNAcentral